This 253-nucleotide ribosomal RNA is filed under the name uncultured bacterium. RNAcentral's name for it is "partial 16S ribosomal RNA". It matches the Rfam family "Bacterial small subunit ribosomal RNA", at positions 524 to 776 of the family's 1533-position model. The record is from RNAcentral.
UACGUAGGUGACAAGCGUUGUCCGGAUUUACUGGGCGUAAAGGGCUCGUAGGCGGCCAACUAAGUCAUACGUGAAAUCCCUCAGCUUAACUGGGGAACUGCGUGUGAUACUGGAUGGCUUGGAUUUGGGAGAGGGAUGCGGAAUUCCAGGUGUAGCGGUGAAAUGCGUAGAUAUCUGGAGGAACACCGGUGGCGAAGGCGGCAUCCUGGACCAAUAUUGACGCUGAGGAGCGAAAGCUAGGGGAGCAAACGGG